This is a long non-coding RNA of Oncorhynchus kisutch (coho salmon), 486 nucleotides long. RefSeq lists it as uncharacterized. Lineage: Eukaryota; Metazoa; Chordata; Actinopteri; Salmoniformes; Salmonidae. The transcript has 3 exons. The record is from RefSeq and is a predicted model, not a curated record.
UAAAUUGGAUUUUCAUUGUGUUCAAUGGUGUUAUUUGCCCCCUAGUGGCGCUUUCUGGUACUUAGAAAGACGACGCAAACAGGAAGUACAGAAUUAGUUUUGCACGCAAAGAAGCAGCUACAAACAACGCUAUGGUGCAGGUCUUUCGGUUAUUUCUUGUCACGCUUCAGCCUUGGAAAUAUUUGUUUUUUCACAACAUAAACGUUUUCAAUAUAUUCAUUCAAGAAAAGUCACGCCUUGGGAGUUUUAUUGAAGACUUAGUUGUUAGCUAUCUGUCUAGUUUUGCAUGGGAACGCAACUCAAGGGCAGAAUAAAAACAUUGUUUUAUUUGCUGCCUCUUGGGACUCCCCCACGGGCCUGGGCCCAAACGGCUGCCUACAAGCUGGCCUCAGGUCAGAAAUGGCUGCCUACAAACUUCCACUGGCUGCCCUCAGGACAGGAAGGUGGUCUAAUUUCCAUGCUUAUCAAGAGAACAUCCCUGGUCAU